ACCAGACUCCUACGGGAGGCAGCAGUGGGGAAUAUUGGACAAUGGGGGGAACCCUGAUCCAGCGACGCCGCGUGAGUGAAGAAGUAUUUCGGUAUGUAAAGCUCUAUCAGCAGGGAAGAAAAUGACGGUACCUGAGUAAGAAGCCCCGGCUAACUACGUGCCAGCAGCCGCGGUAAUACGUAGGGGGCAAGCGUUAUCCGGAUUUACUGGGUGUAAAGGGAGCGUAGACGGCAGUGCGAGUCUGGAGUGAAAGGCGGGGGCUCAACCCCCGGACUGCUCUGGAAACUGUACGGCUGGAGUGCAGGAGGGGUAAGUGGAAUUCCUAGUGUAGCGGUGAAAUGCGUAGAUAUUAGGAGGAACACCAGUGGCGAAGGCGGCGUACUGGACUGUAACUGACGUUGAGGCUCGAAAGCGUGGGGAGCAAACAGGAUUAGAUACCCGAGUAACG
Molecule: ribosomal RNA, 448 nt
Filed under: uncultured bacterium
Lineage: Bacteria
Description: bacterial SSU rRNA
Rfam family: Bacterial small subunit ribosomal RNA
Source: RNAcentral